CAGAUGAUUACAUAUCAAAAUAAAUAGUAAAGGAAGAUAUUUUACAACUAAAUAAAUAAUAGUGAAAACAAUAAAAGAAAAAUAAAAGAGAACUUUGACGGGGCCAAGCAUGUCAAUGCAGGGCAAGGGCCGCUAGGCAGGAAAAGUAGAGAAGAUUGAUCCUUCUGUUUUCCUUCUGUAAGCAGAAGUAAAAAUGCAGCAACAAGCAAAGUCUUUGAAUUUUCUAGUUUCCUGGUAUCAUUUUUUCUUUCGAGAAGAAACUCAACUAGGACAGAAUACAAAUAUUGUCAAAGAACAUGUAGAUAGGUACUCUUGGACUACUUUAACAUGUUCAGUUUCUACCAUAAACCUUGCCAGAGAGACAAAUUUUCAUAUUAAGAUGACAGUCCAGUGAUCAAAAGUUCACAAUUCGAACUAUAUUGUCACCAUACCAAAUUACAUUAGCCUCCUAAUUACUACUGCCAAAUUGGACUUAUCAUUCAUUAUCGAGGGUAAGAAGAUAUAUACACAUUUCAUUAGUAUUUCAUAGACCAAUUUAACAGAAUCUAUCUACUUACCAAAGUAAAUAGUUAAGGAAGAUAUUUUACGGCUACAAGUCUCAGUAAAGUCUUUCUUCUCAACACUAAAAAAAAGUAGAGGAGGUAGAGAAAUCGUAUGCAUCAUAUCAUGCAAUACUAUAUACGUUUAUUUACAAGAAAUCAGCACAACUCGUACAAAAUUAGUACAAUGUAUGCAGAUUUGUGAAGGUUCAACGGUGUAUGCAAGUGCAAUAGCAAACAAGGUUAUUUCUUCUAGUUUUUGACUUUGGAAACAGAUAUGUAUACCAAGAUUGCAAAAUCCAACUUGGUGGAAUAUGUUGAUAUCUUCAUAUAUUUGAUUCUAGAACUAAAUAUUAUUUGAAAAGUUCCUCCUUUUAUUGUUGUUUUGAGAUUCUUGGGUUCCUAUAUCCUUUUUGCUUUACUGUUGAUUGUAAGUUACAAAAUAAUUUUGGCAAAUUUGGUUUUUCAAGGCUGGAGCUUUUUUAUUGGCCAUAGAUAAGAUACAUUCCUUACAGUUGUGUCUCUGCUAACUUCUUUGCUGGUUACUUCCUCGGUGGUCUCUAUCAAAUAGUGAAUUAUUAAGUGCUAUUUGAGCCAAAGAUGACUGACUUUAAACACUUAAAAUAUCCAACAUCAGUUUAUUGCAAGGCUUUGAACUACAGAUACACCUAAUGAUAACAGAGGGAUGGCUUGCAAUAAACUGAAACUGAUUAUAAUCAUGUUUAUAUGGAUUUUACAAAUGAAAUUCAUUAUAAUCAUUUUAUUUAGAAAUUUUCUUCAUUUGGGACCAUACUCUACAAAAAUUGUCACUUGGACACCUGAUUUUGUCCAAGGG
Molecule: long non-coding RNA, 1374 nt
Filed under: Nicotiana benthamiana
Lineage: Eukaryota; Viridiplantae; Streptophyta; Magnoliopsida; Solanales; Solanaceae
Description: long non-coding RNA (NBEN_LNC026777)
Source: RNAcentral